Molecule: transfer RNA, 73 nt
Organism: Nicotiana attenuata
Lineage: Eukaryota; Viridiplantae; Streptophyta; Magnoliopsida; Solanales; Solanaceae
Rfam family: tRNA
About the family: Transfer RNA (tRNA) molecules are approximately 80 nucleotides in length. Their secondary structure includes four short double-helical elements and three loops (D, anti-codon, and T loops).
Source: Rfam
GCUCUAGUAGCUCAGUUGGUUAGAGCACCCGCCUAGUAGGUAGAGGUCUUGAGUUCGACUCUCGACAAGACCA